GGGGGUGUAGCUCAGUGAUACAGCGCGUGCUUAGCAUGCAUGAGGCCCCGGGUUCAAUCCCUGGCACCUCCA
Non-coding RNA from Acinonyx jubatus (cheetah), 72 nucleotides. The record is from the annotation of a RefSeq genome assembly. Lineage: Eukaryota; Metazoa; Chordata; Mammalia; Carnivora; Felidae.